GCAAACUUGGUCAUUUAGAGGAAGUAAAAGUCGUAACAAGGUUUCCGUAGGUGAACCUGCGGAAGGAUCAUUAUCGAGUUAGGGUCUUCUAGGCCCGACCUCCAACCCUUUGUUUAUUAUACCAUGUUGCUUUGGUGGGCCCGCCUCUUGGGGCCACUGGGGACUUUCAUCUUCCCUAGUCAGUGCCCGCCAGUAGCCUUCUUAAAUUCUUUUAUAUCUAUGUCGUCUGAGUAUAACAAAUAAAUUGUUAAAACUUUCAACAACGGAUCUCUUGGUUCUGGCAUCGAUGAAGAACGCAGC
This 300-nucleotide unclassified non-coding RNA is filed under the name uncultured fungus. RNAcentral's name for it is "partial contains small subunit ribosomal RNA, internal transcribed spacer 1, and 5.8S ribosomal RNA". The stretch from base 1 to 73 matches the Rfam family "Eukaryotic small subunit ribosomal RNA", at positions 1759 to 1831 of the family's 1831-position model. Lineage: Eukaryota; Fungi. The record is from RNAcentral.